This is a long non-coding RNA of Cydia splendana, 521 nucleotides long. RefSeq lists it as uncharacterized. The transcript has 2 exons. Lineage: Eukaryota; Metazoa; Arthropoda; Insecta; Lepidoptera; Tortricidae. The record is from RefSeq and is a predicted model, not a curated record.
GUUGGGAAAUUAGAAUCCCAAUAGUUCCAAUGUUACAAAACAUGGAGGUUUGAAAUUUUAACAGUGCUCAAGGCAAUGCCGGGAGGCCUAAAUAUUCUCGAAAGGAACUGUGUACGGAGCUACAGAGCGAGGUCAAAAAUUACCAGGAAUUGCAAGAUCCUACUUAGACACUGCACCUCUGGAAUCAUGAAAUCAAGCCCAAAUGGAUUUUAAGAUCAAAGAAUGAACGCUAAGUUAAGAAACUUGAGAAUAAGGCAAGUCAGCAAUAACGACUUGCACAUGAAAGAGUUCUAGGUCAGACUAAGUCAUAAGUCACAAGUAACAGAAAACGAGUCUAAUGCAGCAUUCAGCUUUGCACACAAAGAUGAACAAACGUAAAAAGAAGAACAAUUCCAAUGAUAAUCAGAAACUGCAAGUUUUUACACCUAGUCUUUUACUAUUUUGUAUACCUAUUACCUAACAAAUUGAAAACAAAUGACAUAAUUUCUUUACUAUGAAGAACAUUGCAUGUUUUUUAAUUA